CGCAAGGCAUGAAGCAAAGAUGGAAUUACGAACCGUGUCAGGUCCGGAAGGAAGCAGCACUAAGUUUUCUCUGUCUUGUGCUUCUUUUUUUAUGCUUAU
This is a non-coding RNA of 99 nucleotides. It matches the Rfam family "Bacterial small signal recognition particle RNA". From Rfam's summary of the family: The signal recognition particle (SRP) is a universally conserved ribonucleoprotein involved in the co-translational targeting of proteins to membranes. Archaeal SRP consists of a 7S RNA and homologues of the eukaryotic SRP19 and SRP54 proteins. The record is from Rfam.